Molecule: ribosomal RNA, 252 nt
Filed under: uncultured bacterium
Lineage: Bacteria
Description: partial 16S ribosomal RNA
Rfam family: Bacterial small subunit ribosomal RNA
Source: RNAcentral
UACGGAGGAUGCGAGCGUUAUCCGGAUUUAUUGGGUUUAAAGGGUGCGCAGGCGGAGGUGCAAGUCAGCGGUCAAAUUGCGGGGCUCAACCCCGUACUGCCGUUGAAACUGCAUCCCUUGAGUGCGCGAGAAGUAUGCGGAAUGCGUGGUGUAGCGGUGAAAUGCAUAGAUGUCACGCAGAACUCCGAUUGCGAAGGCAGCAUACCGGCGCGCAACUGACGCUCAUGCACGAAAGCGUGGGUAUCGAACAGG